UACGUAGGGGGCAAGCGUUGUCCGGAUUUAUUGGGCGUAAAGAGCGUGUAGGCGGCCUUACAGGUCAGCUGUGAAAACUCGAGGCUCAACCUCGAGACGUCGGUUGAAACCGUAAGGCUAGAGUCCGGAAGAGGAGAGUGGAAUUCCCGGUGUAACGGUGAAAUGCGCAGAUAUCGGGAAGAACACCCGUGGCGAAGGCGGCUCUCUGGGACGGUACUGACGCUGAGACGCGAAAGCGUGGGGAGCGAACAGG
This 253-nucleotide ribosomal RNA is filed under the name uncultured bacterium. RNAcentral describes it as "partial 16S ribosomal RNA". It matches the Rfam family "Bacterial small subunit ribosomal RNA", at positions 524 to 776 of the family's 1533-position model. The record is from RNAcentral.